CACCACAACGGGUGGAGCUUGCGGUUUAAUUGGAUUCAACGCCGGAAAUCUUACCGGGACCGACAGCAAUAUGAAGGCCAGGCUGAAGACUUUGCCGGAUUAGCUGAGAGGUGGUGCAUGGCCGUCGUCAGUUCGUACUGUGAAGCAUCCUGUUAAGUCAGGCAACGAGCGAGACCCACGCCCACAGUUGCCAGCGUACUCUCUGGAGUGACGGGUACACUGUGGGACCGCCGCUGCUAAAGCGGAGGAAGGAAUGGGCAACGGUAGGUCAGUAUGCCCCGAAUAUCCCGGGCUACACGCGAGCUACAAUGGUUGGUACAAUGGGUAUCUACCCCGAAAGGGGACGGGAAUCUCCUAAAACCAAUCUUAGUUCGGAUUGAGGGCUGCAACUCGCCCUCAUGAAGCUGGAAUCCGUAGUAAUCGCGUUUCAACAGAACGCGGUGAAUACGUCCCUGCUCCUU
RNAcentral lists this ribosomal RNA (461 nucleotides) under uncultured Methanosaeta sp. Its description in RNAcentral is "bacterial SSU rRNA". It matches the Rfam family "Archaeal small subunit ribosomal RNA", at positions 877 to 1338 of the family's 1478-position model. Lineage: Archaea; Methanobacteriati; Methanobacteriota; Methanomicrobia; Methanotrichales; Methanotrichaceae. The record is from RNAcentral.